UACGAAGGGGGCUAGCGUUGCUCGGAAUCACUGGGCGUAAAGCGCACGUAGGCGGAUCUUUAAGUCAGGGGUGAAAUCCCAAGGCUCAACCUUGGAACUGCCUUUGAUACUGGGGAUCUCGAGUCCGGAAGAGGUUGGUGGAACUCCGAGUGUAGAGGUGAAAUUCGUAGAUAUUCGGAAGAACACCAGUGGCGAAGGCGGCCAACUGGUCCGGUACUGACGCUGAGGUGCGAAAGCGUGGGGAG
RNAcentral lists this ribosomal RNA (245 nucleotides) under uncultured bacterium. RNAcentral describes it as "partial 16S ribosomal RNA". It matches the Rfam family "Bacterial small subunit ribosomal RNA", at positions 524 to 768 of the family's 1533-position model. The record is from RNAcentral.